This is a long non-coding RNA of Syngnathus acus (greater pipefish), 587 nucleotides long. RefSeq lists it as uncharacterized. Lineage: Eukaryota; Metazoa; Chordata; Actinopteri; Syngnathiformes; Syngnathidae. The transcript has 3 exons. The record is from RefSeq and is a predicted model, not a curated record.
GACGAUUGUCAAUAAUUGUGAAUGUACUUAAAGCACAUGGUGGGACUACUACUUCAUGUAUAAUACAUGGAAUGACUGCGCCAGUCUGUACAGCUCCCUCACUCAUCUGCUCCGUCCGGUCUCUCCUAACAGCCAAGCUCGUUUUCUGGCAGCGACCAAAGCAGAAAGCAGAGAAGCCGAGGAUCCAAGAAGCCGCAAAAGCAGAACGGCAAAGAAAGCCCUUCCUUCACAUACUAUCACGACGAGAAGGGCAAACACACACAUGCACACUGUUGAUCUCUCCAUGACAACAAGGAAAAUGUUUACGCUCUUGAUCAAGUCACUUUUUGGUUUCUAUGGUGCACAUGUUACAAUGUGUCUUUCACUGGCUCAACAAAGAGACGGACGGAGAGGAGGUAGGGCAGUCAGAUGUGCAGUAAAAUUAGAUCACAAACUCUUUCGAUUGAACUGAACAAAGAAUGAAAGGUUCUUUUCACUCCAAAACAUAAAAAAAAAAAAAAAAUGUUUGAUUGGCUCUGAUACGAUGAAUGGAUUUUUUGUCAUAGUCCUGACGUCCAAUUUAUUUGAUAAUUCAACCGAUGCUUCUU